CUACGGGUUGCAGCAGUGAGGAAUUUUGCGCAAUGGGGGGAACCCUGACGCAGCAACGCCGUGUGAGUGAAGAAGGCCUUUGGGUCGUAAAGCUCUGCCAACUGGGAAGAAGUUACUGUGCUUUAAUAGAGUGCAGUAUUGACGGUACCAGUGGAGGAAGCGUCGGCUAACUCCGUGCCAGCAGCCGCGGUAACACGGGGGACGCAAGCGUUAUUCGGAAUUAUUGGGCGUAAAGGGCGCGUAGGCGGUCUUGUCGGUCAGGUGUGAAAGCCCGGGGCUCAACCCCGGACGUGCACUUGAAACAGCAAGACUUGAGUACGGGAGAGGAAAGCGGAAUUCCUGGUGUAGAGGUGAAAUUCGUAGAUAUCAGGAGGAACACCGAUGGCGAAGGCAGCUUUCUGGACCGAAACUGACGCUGAGGCGCGAAGGCGUGGGUAGCGAACGGGAUUAGAUACCCGAGUAGUC
Molecule: ribosomal RNA, 465 nt
Filed under: uncultured bacterium
Lineage: Bacteria
Description: partial 16S ribosomal RNA
Rfam family: Bacterial small subunit ribosomal RNA
Source: RNAcentral